Non-coding RNA from Xylona heveae TC161, 102 nucleotides. Lineage: Eukaryota; Fungi; Ascomycota; Xylonomycetes; Xylonales; Xylonaceae. The record is from the annotation of a RefSeq genome assembly.
GUCGUCUUAGCUCAAUUGGGAGAGCGCCAGACUGAAGUCAACUUCAGCCGCCUAGCAUACAAGCUAAUCUGGAGGUACUGUGUUCGAUCCACAGAGACGACA